This 491-nucleotide ribosomal RNA is filed under the name uncultured bacterium. RNAcentral describes it as "partial 16S ribosomal RNA". It matches the Rfam family "Bacterial small subunit ribosomal RNA", at positions 29 to 506 of the family's 1533-position model. The record is from RNAcentral.
AGUGAACGCUGGCGGUAGGCCUAACACAUGCAAGUCGAACGGCAGCACAGUAAGAGCUUGCUCUUACGGGUGGCGAGUGGCGGACGGGUGAGGAAUACAUCGGAAUCUACUUUUUCGUGGGGGAUAACGUAGGGAAACUUACGCUAAUACCGCAUACGACCUACGGGUGAAAGCAGGGGAUCUUCGGACCUUGCGCGAUUGAAUGAGCCGAUGUCGGAUUAGCUAGUUGGCGGGGUAAAGGCCCACCAAGGCGACGAUCCGUAGCUGGUCUGAGAGGAUGAUCAGCAACACUGGAACUGAGACACGGUCCAGACUCCUACGGGAGGCAGCAGUGGGGAAUAUGGGAAAAGGGGCGAAAGCCUGAUCCAGCCAUACCGCGUGGGUGAAGAAGGCCUUCGGGUUGUAAAGCCCUUUUGUUGGGAAAGAAAAGCAGCAGGUUAAGACCCCGCUGUUCUGACGGUACCCAAAGAAUAAGCACCGGCUAACUUCGG